RNAcentral lists this microRNA precursor (103 nucleotides) under Oryza punctata. RNAcentral describes it as "mir-399 microRNA precursor family". It matches the Rfam family "mir-399 microRNA precursor family". From Rfam's summary of the family: mir-399 was identified in both Arabidopsis thaliana and Oryza sativa computationally and was later experimentally verified. mir-399 is thought to target mRNAs coding for a phosphatase transporter. The mature sequence is excised from the 3' arm of the hairpin. Lineage: Eukaryota; Viridiplantae; Streptophyta; Magnoliopsida; Poales; Poaceae. The record is from Rfam by way of RNAcentral.
CCAUGCAUUACUGGGUGGGCCUCCCUUGGCAGUGGCCGAUCGAUCGAGCUGAUCAACCAUGCAAUUAGCCACUGCCAAAGGAGACUUGCCCAGCAAUGCAGAU